UGCAGUCUGCACCUGCUGUCUGUGAUGAUUCUCCAGUUAUUAGUUUGAGUUUAACUACCAUGAGGAUACUUAACAUGCACUACCAUCUGAGACAUGAUGAGCUAUACAAGGAGCAUUCCUUUAUGAAUUACAAGUGUGUAGUAAAUGCUUACAUCUCCGUUCCCAGACAGUAAAGUUCCAGCCUUUCCUCCGCAAGAGGAUGUAACCAAUCUCGUGGACCGUACCAUUUCUGCUGCCCCUGAUUGGCUGAAGGGGUUGGAUGGUACCUCUCGACAGGAAGACAUUUCUUCGGCUGCCCUCAAGAUUGUACUCCUUCUGCGACCGCUUGGCCAAUACUGGGUAUCCUGUUAGUUUGGGGGCGUCAAGACCUGGCAACUUGUACCACUGAAGGACGGAGCGUCAAGACCUGGCAACUUGUACCACUGAAGUAAAGUCCAGCCCUUCCGCAAGAGGAUGAAAACCGAUCCUGCGACAAAUUCCGUUCCCCCUGAAUGGCUGAAGGGGUUGGAUUGUACCAUCUGACAGGAAGAGUUGGUCAUUCCAGUCCCUUAAGACCGUGGGAAGUCCCCUGGCACAGGCGUCCAGACCGGAACUACUGGAGGUGUUGACCUCACCCUAUGACCAGGAAGCUCAUAGGAAGUCUAGAGAAAACAUUUGCCUGACAAGCUCCAUGUUUCCCUCGGGAGAAUUGGAUCAAAUAACUUGAUGUCUGCCAAAUAAAAAUUGAUUUGAAAGCUA
Molecule: long non-coding RNA, 738 nt
Organism: Gadus macrocephalus (Pacific cod)
Lineage: Eukaryota; Metazoa; Chordata; Actinopteri; Gadiformes; Gadidae
Exons: 5
Source: RefSeq, a predicted model, not a curated record